Molecule: ribosomal RNA, 253 nt
Filed under: uncultured bacterium
Lineage: Bacteria
Description: partial 16S ribosomal RNA
Rfam family: Bacterial small subunit ribosomal RNA
Source: RNAcentral
UACGGGGGGGGCAAGCGUUGUUCGGAAUUACUGGGCGUAAAGGGCUCGUAGGUGGCCAACUAAGUCAGACGUGAAAUCCCCAGGCUCAACUUGGGAACUGCGUCUGAUACUGGAUGGCUUGAAUUCGGGAGAGGGAUGCAGAAUUCCAGGUGUAGCGGUGAAAUGCGUAGAUAUCUGGAGGAACACCGGUGGCGAAGGCGGGUCUCUGGGCAGUAACUGACGCUGAGGAGCGAAAGCGUGGGGAGCGAACAGG